RNAcentral lists this ribosomal RNA (406 nucleotides) under uncultured bacterium. RNAcentral's name for it is "partial 16S ribosomal RNA". It matches the Rfam family "Bacterial small subunit ribosomal RNA", at positions 28 to 526 of the family's 1533-position model. The record is from RNAcentral.
GACGAACGCUGGCGGGAUGCCUUACACAUGCAAGUCGAACGAGUUGCGAACGGGUGAGUAACGCGUGGUAACCUGCCUCAUAGCGGGGGAUAACUACUGGAAACGGUAGCUAAUACCGCAUACCAUCGGAUGUGCCCAGAUGGGAUUUGCUAGUAGGUGGGGGAAUGGCUCACCUAGGCGACGAUCCCUAGCUGGUCUGAGAGGAUGACCAGCCACACUGGAACGGAGACACGGUCCAGACGCCUACGGGAGGCAGCAGUGGGGAAUAUUGCACAAUGGGCGCAAGCCUGAUGAAGCCAUGCCGCGUGUAUGAAGAAGGCCUUCGGGUUGUAAAGUACGUUCAGCGAGGAGGCGUUACUCGCAGAAGAAGCACCGGCUAACUCCGUGCCAGCAGCCGCGGUAAUAC